This 118-nucleotide ribosomal RNA is filed under the name Endozoicomonas elysicola. The record is from RNAcentral. Lineage: Bacteria; Pseudomonadati; Pseudomonadota; Gammaproteobacteria; Oceanospirillales; Endozoicomonadaceae.
GCCUGGCGACCAUAGAAGGUUAGAACCACCUGAUCCCAUCCCGAACUCAGCAGUGAAAUGACCGAUCGCCGAUGGUAGUGUGGGGCUUCCCCAUGUGAGAGUAGGUCAUCGCCAGGCA